This is a microRNA precursor of Schistosoma mansoni, 78 nucleotides long. It matches the Rfam family "mir-3492 microRNA precursor family". Lineage: Eukaryota; Metazoa; Platyhelminthes; Trematoda; Strigeidida; Schistosomatidae. The record is from Rfam.
GGCCUCCUGAAUAUUUGCCGAGAUUUCGUCAGACUCCAAUCCACCAGGAUUGAUGAGGCUGCCAAUAUAAGUGAAGCA